This 948-nucleotide ribosomal RNA is filed under the name Triticum aestivum (bread wheat). RNAcentral's name for it is "partial small subunit ribosomal RNA". The record is from RNAcentral. Lineage: Eukaryota; Viridiplantae; Streptophyta; Magnoliopsida; Poales; Poaceae.
AUGGCUGAGUACGACGGCAUUGUCAGCAGGAUGUUUGAUAGCGAGGAAGAUGGUUUUGAGUUCUAUAACAAGUAUGCUCUUGAGAAAGGCUUUAGUGUGAGGAAAGGAUAUGUUGAGUGGGAUGAAGCGAACGAGAAGAUAAUUCUGAGGAAACUUGUCUGUAGUCGUGAAGGUUGCCGUGAAGAGAAACACAUGAAGAGGAAGAGAGAAGAUAGGAAGAGGAAGCCACGGAAUAUCACUCGUGUGGGGUCUAAAGCGAAAUUUGUCAUUGCAAGAGUCGUGAAAACAGGGCGGUGGUUUGUGAAAGAUUUCAUCGAUGAACACAACCAUCCUCUGGCCCCACGAGACCUUUCUUGCUUUCUGCGUUCCCACAGAAGAAUCAGCGACGAGAAGAAAGCGGACAUUAUAGAGAUGGAAAGUGUUGGAAUCAAGAAACACAAAAUCAUGGAUGUGUUGUGCAUGCAGUACGGUGGAUAUGACCAUGUUGGAUGCACGACGAGGGACAUCUAUAACUUCUGCCAUCGCUACAAGCAGGAAACAGUCGCUGCCGGUGAUGCUCAGACGGUGAUCCGUCACAUGAUGGCGCGGCAAGAGAGAGACCCAGAUUAUUUCUUCAAAUACUUGGUUUAUAAAGCUGGGCAUCUGAAGGGAUUGUUCUGGUCCGAUACUCAAUCCUGCCUUGACUACGAGGCUUUCAGUGAUGUUGUUUUUGAUAGCACAUAUAGGACCAAUAAGUACAAUCUUCCGUUUGUGCCGUUUGUCGGGUUGAAUCACCACCGCAGCACUGUUAUCUUUGGAUGCGGGAUCAUUUCUCAUGAAACUAAGGAGGCGUACGAGUGGAUGUUGCGGACAUUUUCUGAAGCCAUGUCGCAGAAGCAUCCGAUAUCUGUAAUCACCGACGGGGACCUUGCAAUGCAGAGAGCGAUCAGGGUGGUGUGGCCUGACUAA